GACGAACGCUGGCGGCGUGCUUAACACAUGCAAGUCGAGCGGAAAGGCCCCUUUGGGGGUACUCGAGUGGCGAACGGGUGAGUAUCACGUGAGUAACCUGCCCUUGACUUCGGGAUAACUUCAGGAAACUGGGGCUAAUACCGGAUAGGAAUCCUUGCUGCAUGGUGGGGGUUGGAAAGCUUCGGCGGUUUUGGAUGGACUCGCGGCUUAUCAGCUUGUUGGUGGGGUAGUGGCUUACCAAGGCUUUGACGGGUAGCCGGCCUGAGAGGGCGACCGGCCACAUUGGGACUGAGAUACGGCCCAGACUCCUACGGGAGGCAGCAGUGGGGAAUAUUGCACAAUGGGCGGAAGCCUGAUGCAGCAACGCCGCGUGCGGGAUGACGGCCUUCGGGUUGUAAACCGCUUUCAGCAGGGGCGAAGCUUGUGGUGACGGUACCUGCAGAAGAAGCACCGGCUAACUACGUG
This 465-nucleotide ribosomal RNA is filed under the name uncultured bacterium. RNAcentral's name for it is "partial 16S ribosomal RNA". It matches the Rfam family "Bacterial small subunit ribosomal RNA", at positions 28 to 507 of the family's 1533-position model. The record is from RNAcentral.